This 460-nucleotide ribosomal RNA is filed under the name uncultured bacterium. RNAcentral describes it as "partial 16S ribosomal RNA". It matches the Rfam family "Bacterial small subunit ribosomal RNA", at positions 338 to 795 of the family's 1533-position model. The record is from RNAcentral.
CCUACGGGAGGCUGCAGUGAGGAAUAUUGGUCAAUGGGCGCGAGCCUGAACCAGCCAAGUAGCGUGAAGGAUGACUGCCCUACGGGUUGUAAACUUCUUUUAUAAGGGAAUAAAGUGCGGCACGUGUGCCUUUUUGUAUGUACUUCAUGAAUACGGAUCGGCUAACGCCGUGCCAGCAGCCGCGGUAAUACGGAGGAUCCGAGCGUUAUCCGGAUUUAGUGGGUUUAAAGGGAGCGUAGAUGGGUUGUUAAGUCAGUUGUGAAAGGUUGCGGCUCAACCGUAAGAUUGCAAUGGAUACUGGCAGCCUUGAGUGCAGUUGAGGUAGGCGGAAUUCGUGGUGUAGCGGUGAAAUGCUUAGAUAUCACGAAGAACUCCGAUUGCGAAGGCAGCUUACUAAACUGCCACUGACAUUGAUGCUCGAAAGUGUGGGUAUCAAACAGGAUUAGAUACCCGAGUAGUC